UACGUAGGGUGCAAGCGUUGUCCGGAAUUAUUGGGCGUAAAGGGCUCGUAGGCGGUCCAUCACGUCGGGAGUGAAAAGCUGGGGCUUAACCCCAGUCCUGCUUCCGAUACGGGUGGACUAGAGGUAGGCAGGGGAGAACGGAAUUCCUGGUGUAGCGGUGAAAUGCGCAGAUAUCAGGAGGAACACCGGUGGCGAAGGCGGUUCUCUGGGCCUUACCUGACGCUGAGGCGCGAAAGCUAGGGGAGCAAACAGG
RNAcentral lists this ribosomal RNA (253 nucleotides) under uncultured bacterium. Its description in RNAcentral is "partial 16S ribosomal RNA". It matches the Rfam family "Bacterial small subunit ribosomal RNA", at positions 524 to 776 of the family's 1533-position model. The record is from RNAcentral.